AGUACGGGUUUGAUAUGAUUGAUUAAAAGGGAAUCAGGUGAAAGUCCUGAGCUAUCCUGUAGCUGUAUUAGAUGAAUCUAAUUUAUAUGAGCCACUUGGAAACUGGGAAGGCGUAUUUUAGAUGAUGAAUCUUAAGUCAGAAGACCUGCCUGUGCUU
RNAcentral lists this non-coding RNA (157 nucleotides) under uncultured Clostridium sp. The record is from RNAcentral. Lineage: Bacteria; Bacillati; Bacillota; Clostridia; Eubacteriales; Clostridiaceae.